Molecule: ribosomal RNA, 885 nt
Filed under: Russula sp.
Lineage: Eukaryota; Fungi; Basidiomycota; Agaricomycetes; Russulales; Russulaceae
Description: LSU rRNA
Rfam family: Eukaryotic large subunit ribosomal RNA
Source: RNAcentral
GGAUUGCCCCUAGUAACUGCGAGUGAAGCGGGAAAAGCUCAAAUUUAAAAUCUGGUGGCCUCUGGUCAUCCGAGUUGUAAUUUAGAGAAGCGUCUUCCGCGCUGGACCAUGCACAAGUCUCCUGGAAUGGAGCGUCAUAGAGGGUGAGAAUCCCGUCUUUGGCAUGGACACACCAGGGCUUCCGUGAUGCGCUCUCAAAGAGUCGAGUUGUUUGGGAAUGCAGCUCAAAAUGGGUGGUGAACUCCAUCUAAAGCUAAAUAUUGGCGAGAGACCGAUAGCGAACAAGUACCGUGAGGGAAAGAUGAAAAGCACUUUGGAAAGAGAGUGAAACAGUACGUGAAAUUGUUGAAAGGGAAACGCUUGAAGUCAGUCGCGUCGACCGAGACUCAGCCUUGCCUCGGCUUGGUGUACUUCUCGGCCGACGGGUCAGCAUCAAUUUUGGGCCUUGGAUAAUGACGGGGGAAAGGUAGCACCUUUACGGGUGUGUUAUAGUCUCCCGUCGGAUGCAAGGGYCGGGAUUGAGGAACUCAGCACGCGCCUUUUGGCGUCGGGGCUUCGGCCCACGCUUACGUGCUUAGGAUGCUGGCAUAAUGGCUUUAAACGACCCGUCUUGAAACACGGACCAAGGAGUCUAACAUGCCCGCGAGUGUUCGGGUGGAAAACCCGUGCGCGUAAUGAAAGUAAAAGUUGGGACCUCUGUCGUGGAGAGCACCGACGCCCGGACCAGACCUUCUGUGACGGAUCUGCGGUAGAGCGUGCAUGUUGGGACCCGAAAGAUGGUGAACUAUGCUUGAAUAGGGUGAAGCCAGAGGAAACUCUGGUGGAGGCUCGUAGCGAUUCUGACGUGCAAAUCGAUCGUCAAAUUUGGGUAUAGGGGCGAAAGAC